UACGUAGGGUGCAAGCGUUAAUCGGAAUUACUGGGCGUAAAGCGUGCGCAGGCGGUUAUGUAAGACAGGUGUGAAAUCCCCGGGCUCAACCUGGGCACUGCAGUUGGAACUGGCAAGCUAGAGUAGGGUAGAGGGGUGUGGAAUUCCAGGUGUAGCGGUGAAAUGCGCAGAUAUUCGGAGGAACACCAGUGGCGAAGGCGGCUCACUGGUCCGGUACUGACGCUGAGGUGCGAAAGCGUGGGGAGCAAACAGG
Molecule: ribosomal RNA, 253 nt
Filed under: uncultured bacterium
Lineage: Bacteria
Description: partial 16S ribosomal RNA
Rfam family: Bacterial small subunit ribosomal RNA
Source: RNAcentral